This 916-nucleotide long non-coding RNA is filed under the name Equus caballus (horse). Its description in RNAcentral is "lncRNA (ENSECAG00000032553.2)". The record is from RNAcentral. Lineage: Eukaryota; Metazoa; Chordata; Mammalia; Perissodactyla; Equidae.
CGCCGCGUUACUGGCGCCCGACAGGGAAGCAGGCAGACGAGCCCCUCGGCAGGAGAUAACGGCAGCCACCCCGACACAGGCUCCGAGUCCCGACACGCGACGGCACACCCUCGGCGGCGCCCGUGCAACCUUCGCGGGACCCGGAGCAGGCGGCUCCACGCUGGAGUCACCGAGAGCCUCUUGCGGAGACUGAGGGGAAGGGGCUGGAGCACGCAGACGCGGCGGGGAAGACCCAGAGGGUCGGAGUCCCGAGAGGGGGUGCGCCAGGCCUUCCUCGUCCUGAACUCGGGGCGGGAGAGCACAGAGCCCCAGGGAGAGCGCCGCAGGCUCCGGCUUGACAGAGGCGGAAAAAGCCCGCGUAGCAGAGACAAGCAAGGAGGCCGACCGCAGACGGAGCGGAGCCCACACUGAGGGAGGCGGGCAGAGCCGAGUUCAGACGGAGAGGGGCGGAGAGGGCCGAGUACAGACAAAAAAGGCCAGAGAGAGCCGGGUCCAGGCAGAGCCCGAGGGAGAAAGCCGAGUCCAGCCGGAGAGAGCCGAGAACAGGCGGGAAGAGGCGGAGAAAGCCGGGACCAGACGGAAAAGGGCGGAGAGAGCCGGGUUGAGACGGAGAGGGGCGGAGAGAACCGAGUCCAGAGAACCACAAGGAGAAAGUAAAAAGCAGAGCUUGAAAGGCUGAAGAAUGUUCAAAAUUGGAGUUAACAUUGGGUCACUGCUCAGUUCCCUUGGAUCAGUGACAGGCUUUAAGGAAUGGCUGAGACCUGGAGCCUGCUGUUUUCAGGUCACCCAUCAAGUGAGAACAGGUGGGAAGUUGUCGUAUUGUCCAGUAGGGAAGGAAGCAAUCCAGGCCCUCGUCCCCGGGUAUCAGAGGGGAGUGAGCUAGAUGUUGUUUUCAGAAAAGUUCACAUUGAGCUGA